Molecule: ribosomal RNA, 615 nt
Filed under: uncultured Actinobacteridae bacterium
Lineage: Bacteria; Bacillati; Actinomycetota; Actinomycetes
Description: bacterial SSU rRNA
Rfam family: Bacterial small subunit ribosomal RNA
Source: RNAcentral
GUGGGGUGAUGGCCUACCAAGGCGACGACGGGUAGCCGGCCUGAGAGGGUGACCGGCCACACUGGGACUGAGACACGGCCCAGACUCCUACGGGAGGCAGCAGUGGGGAAUAUUGCACAAUGGGCGCAAGCCUGAUGCAGCGACGCCGCGUGAGGGAUGACGGCCUUCGGGUUGUAAACCUCUUUCAGUGGGGAGGAAGCCUUCCAUUGCGGGGGGUGACGGUACCUGCAGAAAAAGCACCGGCCAACUACGUGCCAGCACCCGCGGUAGUACGUAUGGUGCAAGCGUUGUCCGGAAUUAUUGGGCGUAAAGAGCUCGUAGGCGGUUUGUCACGUCGGUUGGGAAAGCCCGGGGCUCAACUCCGGGUUGGCAGUCCAUACGGGCAGGCUGGAAUACGGCAGGGGAGACUGGAAUUCCUGGUGUAGCGGUGAAAUGCGCAAAUAUCAGGAGGAACACCGGUGGCGAAGGCGGGUCUCUGGGCCGAUACUGACGCUGAUGAGCGAAAGCGUGGGGAGCGAACAGGAUUAGAUACCCUGGUAGUCCACGCCGUAAACGGUGGGCACUAGGUGUGGGCGGCAUUCCACGUCGUCCGUGCCGUAGCCUACGCAUUAGGUG